GACGAACGCUGGCGGCGUGCUUAACACAUGCAAGUCGAACGGUGAACCUCUUCGGAGGGGAUCAGUGGCGAACGGGUGAGUAACACGUUGGCAACCUGCCCCCGUCUCUGGGAUAACUCCAAGAAAUUGGGGCUAAUACCGGAUUUUCACCGCUUCCCUCAUGGGUGGUGGUGAAAAGGUUUUCCGGCUGGGGAUGGGCCCGCGGCCUAUCAGCUUGUUUGUGGGGUAGUGGCCUACCAAGGCGACGACGGGUAGCCGGCCUUAGAGGGUGACCGGCCACACUGGGACUGAGACAGGGCACAGACUACAACGGGAGGCAGCAGUGGGGAAUAGUGCGCAAUGGGAGGAAGCCUGACGAAGCGAAGCAGCGUGGGGGAUGACGGCCUUCGGGUUGUAAAAAUAUAUCAGCAGGGACGAAGCGAAAGUGACGGUACCGGAAGAAGAAGCACCGGCCAACUACGUG
This 463-nucleotide ribosomal RNA is filed under the name uncultured bacterium. RNAcentral's name for it is "partial 16S ribosomal RNA". It matches the Rfam family "Bacterial small subunit ribosomal RNA", at positions 28 to 507 of the family's 1533-position model. The record is from RNAcentral.